CCCCUGCCCCCUCGGCCUGGAGACCAGUAUCGGCUUCGGAACCUUCGGAGCAGCAUGAGGAACAUGAUGACCAGCAGGUCAAAGACGAGCUCAGCCAUCUCCACCACAGACAACACCGAGGAGCCGAACCACAGGCUCCACUGGCUGCCCAGGUUGGACAGGAGGGUGACCAUCUGUGAGAGGAGAGGUCAGAGAGACAGGAACCAGGAGGCCACGACUGGAAAGUCCAGGCAGAAGAGAACUGCGGAGCCAGCCCAGGGAAGGACAGAAGUGGAAAAGUCACCACAGACAGGAACAAGCUUCCUGGCACACGACUUCCCUGCCAAACAACUCAACUGUAGUCAAAAGGAAAGAGAUUUGUCUAGUCCUAUACCAGGAUAAGGAGGAGAUUCCAAGGUGCUCCAAACUUUACUGAUUGUGCCCUUGUUCAGUUAAAAAAAAAAUCUUAAACAGGUCCAAUACAUGUAUUUGAUUUAUAAAUUAUAUACCU
Molecule: long non-coding RNA, 490 nt
Filed under: Homo sapiens (human)
Lineage: Eukaryota; Metazoa; Chordata; Mammalia; Primates; Hominidae
Description: LNC_000795
Source: RNAcentral